This 542-nucleotide ribosomal RNA is filed under the name uncultured archaeon. RNAcentral's name for it is "bacterial SSU rRNA". It matches the Rfam family "Archaeal small subunit ribosomal RNA", at positions 457 to 997 of the family's 1478-position model. The record is from RNAcentral.
GCCAGCAGCCGCGGGAACACCGGCGGCCCGAGUGGUGAUCGUGAUUAUUGGGUCUAAAGGGUCCGUAGCCGGUUUGGUCAGUCCUCCGGGAAAUCUGAUAGCUCAACUAUUAGGCUUUCGGGGGAUACUGCCAGACUUGGAACCGGGAGAGGUAAGAGGUACUACAGGGGUAGGAGUGAAAUCUUGUAAUCCCUGUGGGACCACCUGUGGCGAAGGCGUCUUACCAGAACGGGUUCGACGGUGAGGGACGAAAGCUGGGGGCACGAACCGGAUUAGAUACCCGGGUAGUCCCAGCCGUAAACGAUGCUCGCUAGGUGUCAGGCAUGGCGCGACCGUGUCUGGUGCCGCAGGGAAGCCGUGAAGCGAGCCACCUGGGAAGUACGGCCGCAAGGCUGAAACCUAAAGGAAUUGGCGGGGGAGCACAACAACGGGUGGAAGCCUGCGGUUUAAUUGGACUCAACGCCGGACAACUCACCGGGGGCGACAGCAAUAUGUAGGCCAAGCUGAAGACUUUGCCUGAAUCGCUGAGGGGAGGUGCAUGG